UGAUCAAUCAAAAACUUUGGAUUUCAAUCAUUUCAAGUUUGCAUGAUUCAAUGUAUUGCAAGUUCAAAAUCAAACCUUCAUAGUCACCAAAGAAUCAAAGCAUGAAUGUGAAAUAGUUUCAAAAUUCAAGUAAGAUUUCAAUCUUUCCAAAUCAACAAGAUAAUCAACUAGAAUCACAAUACUCACAAGUGUUUCAUCUCAAGGGUGUAGUGUUUCUCUCAAUCCAAACAAUGUGUUCACAACAAAUCAAUUCAAACAUACAUCUCAUCAUAAUCACAAACAUGCUAUCAAUCAUGGAUCACUAAGGUCUUUCUUAAGCUUGUAAUGGGGCUAGGCUACAAGAAAUCAUUGUUUCUCUUUGGAUUCAAAAAGCCUUAAGGAUAAGAGAGCAUAAUUCUUGAGAAUUUCAUCACAUAAGCUAUUUAUCCUCUUUCACUUUCCCCAUUUUUCUUUCUUUUGGUAAUUCUUUUGUUUUGACNNNNNNNNNNNNNNNNUUUUUUUUGUAACACAUUUUCUUUGAUUUUCAUUUGUGUGUCAAAUGACUUUCAAUAUUUUUCUUUUUCUUUUUUUCUUUUUCAAUCACCAUCUUCAACAUCUCAUGUUUUUCAACUACUUCUUUUUUCUUUUUUUUCAAACAAAUAACCUCUUUUCUCCCCCAACUUGUUUUCAACCCUACUUAAACUUAAUGCUCAAUCAUCCUAAGACAAGGGUCAAGUCAUUGUUUUUCUUUAUUGUGGUUCAAGGUUCAAAACAAACAAAUUUUCAAAAUUUUUGGCUCAAGGGGNNNNNNNNNNNNNNNNNNNNNNNNNNNNNNNNNNNNNNNNNNNNAGCUACUUGGUUCAAAUUCAUCCUAUCAUUCAAAGAUAAUCACAAAAUUUUGACCUCAAACAAUGCAAUUAAAAAAAAAUUAUUCUAAUCACGCAUUUGAAUUUGAUUAAUCACAAACCUAAACUUUUCAAUUCAUCUGCACAUGGUAUUCAAAAUUUCAAAAAUUUGAACCAUUUUUUCAAUCAACCAUCAACAUGUUGUUCAAACCACAAGAGAAAUAUAAAUUAAGAUAAAGCAUAAAUUUAACCGAAAGCUAUUUAAAAUAAACUUCACAGAGUUUUGGAGAGCUUUCUCGGUCUAUCUUUCUCUUGUCAGUUGUCUGGAUCUUCUUCACUUCCUUGGUACCAACAGCAGCUUCUCACCUCCUCCGAGUAAAAUGGCCUUUCCAUAGGCCAUGCCAUUUGUGCAGCUUCUUGAGUUUUUCUCUAAGUGUCAUAUCUGAAACAAUUGUAACUGACAGAACUGGAACCAAAAACAAUUCAACAUCUUAAGCAUGAGAGUAUUCUUAUGAAUGCACAAAGAUUUAAGACUUUUAAAUCCCAAUAAUGGAAACAUAUGCUCAUAGCCACCAACAUGAUAGUCUAGUAUCAAAUCACAGUAAAAUGCACCAGAACAAGUAGAAUUAGAUUUAUCAACAAAAUCAUUAUGUUCCACAUAAUUGAUUCAAAUUCAAUCAAAAGUUCUAAUUCAAAGAGAGAUCAACUCAACCCUAUUCUACAGCCCUUAAUUACUCAUAAGUACCAACUUACAAUUAUGACUAACUGAAUCUUAUGAAUGGUUCAAAUCCCUAAUUCACAUUCAAACCCUAAUUUGUAUUCUCUUAAUAAUCACCCAGAGAAGUUUUACUAGUGAAGAAAGUUGUUCAUUAAAAACAAAAAGGGGUAUUCACUUUAAGAUUCCUGAAAAGCAAACAAAAAUUUCAUACCUUUUCUCUUGGAAUUAAGAUGCACAGUGAAGAACAAAAAUAUGUUGGAGAUGAAUGGGAAAAAUUUAAGCUUUUUCAUGGUUGAAAGUUGAGUAUCAAUGAGAUGGAGAGAAAUUUUUGUGAGGUGUAGUGAUACAAAAGAUGGAAGGAUAAAGAACUUUUGGGUCUGAGACUUG
Molecule: long non-coding RNA, 1929 nt
Filed under: Trifolium pratense (red clover)
Lineage: Eukaryota; Viridiplantae; Streptophyta; Magnoliopsida; Fabales; Fabaceae
Description: long non-coding RNA (TPRA_LNC014057)
Source: RNAcentral